RNAcentral lists this ribosomal RNA (305 nucleotides) under uncultured bacterium. RNAcentral's name for it is "bacterial SSU rRNA". It matches the Rfam family "Bacterial small subunit ribosomal RNA", at positions 334 to 656 of the family's 1533-position model. The record is from RNAcentral.
GUAUCCUACGGGGCGCAGCAGUAGGGAAUAUUGCACAAUGGGGGAAACCCUGAUGCAGCGACGCCGCGUGAGUGAAGAAGUAUCUCGGUACGUAAAGCUCUAUCAGCAGGGAAGAAAAUGACGGUACCUGACUAAGAAGCCCCGGCUAACUACGUGCCAGCAGCCGCGGUAAUACGUAGGGGGCAAGCGUUAUCCGGAUUUACUGGGUGUAAAGGGAGCGUAGACGGCAGCACAAGUCUGGAGUGAAAGCCCGGGGCCCAACCCCGGGACUGCUCUUGGAACUGCAUGGCUGGAGUACAGGAGGG